AGUCAUAUGCUUGUCUCAAAGAUUAAGCCAUGCAUGUCUCAGUACAAGCCGAAUUAAGGUGAAACCGCGAAAGGCUCAUUAAAUCAGUUAUGGUUCCUUAGAUCGUACCCACAUUUACUUGGAUAACUGUGGUAAUUCUAGAGCUAAUACAUGCAAACAGAGCUCCGACCGGAGACGGAAGGAGCGCUUUUAUUAGAUCAAAACCAAUCGGCGGCGGUCCGCGAGGUCCGUCGUCGUACAACUUGGCGAAUCUGAAUAACUUUCUGCUGAUCGCACGGUCUCGCACCGGCGACGCAUCUUUCAAAUGUCUGCCUUAUCAACUGUCGAUGGUAGGUUCUGCGCCUACCAUGGUUGUAACGGGUAACGGGGAAUCAGGGUUCGAUUCCGGAGAGGGAGCCUGAGAAACGGCUACCACAUCCAAGGAAGGCAGCAGGCGCGCAAAUUACCCACUCCCGGCACGGGGAGGUAGUGACGAAAAAUAACGAUACGGGACUCAUCCGAGGCCCCGUAAUCGGAAUGAGUACACUCUAAACCCUUUAACGAGGAUCAAUUGGAGGGCAAGUCUGGUGCCAGCAGCCGCGGUAAUUCCAGCUCCAAUAGCGUAU
RNAcentral lists this ribosomal RNA (605 nucleotides) under Sinonychus satoi. RNAcentral describes it as "SSU rRNA". It matches the Rfam family "Eukaryotic small subunit ribosomal RNA", at positions 22 to 602 of the family's 1831-position model. The record is from RNAcentral. Lineage: Eukaryota; Metazoa; Arthropoda; Insecta; Coleoptera; Elmidae.